UACGUAGGGUGCGAGCGUUGUCCGGAAUUAUUGGGCGUAAAGGGCUCGUAGGCGGUUUGUCGCGUCGGGAGUGAAAUCCUACGGCUUAACUGUGGGCUUGCUUUCGAUACGGGCAGACUAGAGGUAUGCAGGGGAGAACGGAAUUCCUGGUGUAGCGGUGAAAUGCGUAGAUAUCUGGAGGAAUACCGGUGGCGAAGGCGGCAUCCUGGACCGAGAUUGACGCUGAUGAGCGAAAGCUAGGGGAGCAAACGGG
This 253-nucleotide ribosomal RNA is filed under the name uncultured bacterium. RNAcentral's name for it is "partial 16S ribosomal RNA". It matches the Rfam family "Bacterial small subunit ribosomal RNA", at positions 524 to 776 of the family's 1533-position model. The record is from RNAcentral.